This 885-nucleotide ribosomal RNA is filed under the name uncultured bacterium. Its description in RNAcentral is "bacterial SSU rRNA". It matches the Rfam family "Bacterial small subunit ribosomal RNA", at positions 92 to 960 of the family's 1533-position model. The record is from RNAcentral.
CGAGCGGCGGAUGGGUGAGUAACACGUGGGGAACCUGCCCCUAAGUCUGGGAUACCAUUUGGAAACAGGUGCUAGUACCGGAUAAUAAAGCAGAUCGCAUGAUCAGCUUUUGAAAGGCGGCGUAAGCUGUCGCUAAAGGAUGGCCCCGCGGUGCAUUAGCUAGUUGGUAAGGUAACGGCUUACCAAGGCGACGAUGCAUAGCCGAGUUGAGAGACUGAUCGGCCACAUUGGGACUGAGACACGGCCCAAACUCCUACGGGAGGCAGCAGUAGGGAAUCUUCCACAAUGGACGCAAGUCUGAUGGAGCAACGCCGCGUGAGUGAAGAAGGUUUUCGGAUCGUAAAGCUCUGUUGUUGGUGAAGAAGGAUAGAGGUAGUAACUGGCCUUUAUUUGACGGUAAUCAACCAGAAAGUCACGGCUAACUACGUGCCAGCAGCCGCGGUAAUACGUAGGUGGCAAGCGUUGUCCGGAUUUAUUGGGCGUAAAGCGAGCGCAGGCGGAAAAAUAAGUCUAAUGUGAAAGCCCUCGGCUUAACCGAGGAACUGCAUCGGAAACUGUUUUUCUUGAGUGCAGAAGAGGAGAGUGGAACUCCAUGUGUAGCGGUGGAAUGCGUAGAUAUAUGGAAGAACACCAGUGGCGAAGGCGGCUCUCUGGUCUGCAACUGACGCUGAGGCUCGAAAGCAUGGGUAGCGAACAGGAUUAGAUACCCUGGUAGUCCAUGCCGUAAACGAUGAGUGCUAAGUGUUGGGAGGUUUCCGCCUCUCAGUGCUGCAGCUAACGCAUUAAGCACUCCGCCUGGGGGAGUACGACCGCAAGGUUGAAACUCAAAGGAAUUGACGGGGGCCCGCACAAGCGGUGGAGCAUGUGGGUUUAAUUCGAUGCAAC